UACGUAGGGUGCAAGCGUUAUCCGGAAUUAUUGGGCGUAAAGAGCUCGUAGGCGGUUUGUCGCGUCUGCUGUGAAAACUGGAGGCUCAACCUCCAGCCUGCAGUGGGUACGGGCAGACUAGAGUGCGGUAGGGGAGAUUGGAAUUCCUGGUGUAGCGGUGGAAUGCGCAGAGUAUCAGGAGGAACACCGAUGGCGAAGGCCAGAUCUCUGGGCCGUAACUGACGCUGAGACGCGAAAGCGUGGGGAGCAAACAGG
RNAcentral lists this ribosomal RNA (255 nucleotides) under uncultured bacterium. RNAcentral describes it as "partial 16S ribosomal RNA". It matches the Rfam family "Bacterial small subunit ribosomal RNA", at positions 524 to 776 of the family's 1533-position model. The record is from RNAcentral.